AGGACGUCACUUAACUUGGAGUCCGAACUCUCACUUUCUAACCCUGUGCACUUGUUUGGGAUAGUAACUCUCGCAAGAGAGCGAACUCCUAUUCACUUAUAAACACAAAGUCUAUGAAUGUAUUAAAUUUUAUAACAAAAUAAAACUUUCAACAACGGAUCUCUUGGCUCUCGCAUCGAUGAAGAACGCAGCGAAAUGCGAUAAGUAAUGUGAAUUGCAGAAUUCAGUGAAUCAUCGAAUCUUUGAACGCACCUUGCGCUCCAUGGUAUUCCGUGGAGCAUGCCUGUUUGAGUGUCAUGAAUACUUCAACCCUCCUCUUUCUUAAUGAUUGAAGAGGUGUUUGGUUUCUGAGCGCUGCUGGCCUUUACGGUCUAGCUCGUUCGUAAUGCAUUAGCAUCCGCAAUCGAACUUCGGAUUGACUUGGCGUAAUAGACUAUUCGCUGAGGAAUUCUAGUCUUCGGAUUAGAGCCGGGUUGGGUUAAAGGAAGCUUCUAAUCAGAAUGUCUACAUUUUAAGAUUAGAUCUCAAAUCAGGUAGGACUACCCGCUGAACUUAAGCAUAUCAAUAAGCGAGGGAAAAAAAAAAA
This 586-nucleotide ribosomal RNA is filed under the name Rhodotorula mucilaginosa. Its description in RNAcentral is "eukaryotic LSU rRNA". The stretch from base 144 to 297 matches the Rfam family "5.8S ribosomal RNA". Lineage: Eukaryota; Fungi; Basidiomycota; Microbotryomycetes; Sporidiobolales; Sporidiobolaceae. The record is from RNAcentral.